RNAcentral lists this ribosomal RNA (495 nucleotides) under uncultured bacterium. RNAcentral's name for it is "partial 16S ribosomal RNA". It matches the Rfam family "Bacterial small subunit ribosomal RNA", at positions 28 to 507 of the family's 1533-position model. The record is from RNAcentral.
GACGAACGCUGGCGGCGUGCCUAAUACAUGCAAGUAGAACGCUGAAGGAGGAGCUUGCUUCUCUGGAUGAGUUGCGAACGGGUGAGUAACGCGUAGGUAACCUGCCUGGUAGCGGGGGAUAACUAUUGGAAACGAUAGCUAAUACCGCAUAAUAGUAGAUGUUGCAUGACAUUUGCUUAAAAGGUGCAAUUGCAUCACUACCAGAUGGACCUGCGUUGUAUUAGCUAGUUGGUGGGGUAACGGCUCACCAAGGCGACGAUACAUAGCCGACCUGAGAGGGUGAUCGGCCACACUGGGACUGAGACACGGCCCAGACUCCUACGGGAGGCGGCAGUAGGGAAUCUUCGGCAAUGGACGGAAGUCUGACCGAGCAACGCCGCGUGAGUGAAGAAGGUUUUCGGAUCGUAGAGCUCUGUUGUAAGAGAAGAACGAGUGUGAGAGUGGAAAGUUCACACUGUGACGGUAUCUUACCAGAAAGGGACGGCUAACUACGUG